UGCAGUCGAGCGGACAGAAGGGAGCUUGCUCCCGGAUGUUAGCGGCGGACGGGUGAGUAACACGUGGGUAACCUGCCUGUAAGACUGGGAUAACUCCGGGAAACCGGAGCUAAUACCGGAUAGUUCCUUGAACCGCAUGGUUCAAGGAUGAAAGACGGUUUCGGCUGUCACUUACAGAUGGACCCGCGGCGCAUUAGCUAGUUGGUGAGGUAACGGCUCACCAAGGCGACGAUGCGUAGCCGACCUGAGAGGGUGAUCGGCCACACUGGGACUGAGACACGGCCCAGACUCCUACGGGAGGCAGCAGUAGGGAAUCUUCCGCAAUGGACGAAAGUCUGACGGAGCAACGCCGCGUGAGUGAUGAAGGUUUUCGGAUCGUAAAGCUCUGUUGUUAGGGAAGAACAAGUGCAAGAGUAACUGCUUGCACCUUGACGGUACCUAACCAGAAAGCCACGGCUAACUACGUGCCAGCAGCCGCGGUAAUACGUAGGUGGCAAGCGUUGUCCGGAAUUAUUGGGCGUAAAGGGCUCGCAGGCGGUUUCUUAAGUCUGAUGUGAAAGCCCCCGGCUCAACCGGGGAGGGUCAUUGGAAACUGGGAAACUUGAGUGCAGAAGAGGAGAGUGGAAUUCCACGUGUAGCGGUGAAAUGCGUAGAGAUGUGGAGGAACACCAGUGGCGAAGGCGACUCUCUGGUCUGUAACUGACGCUGAGGAGCGAAAGCGUGGGGAGCGAACAGGAUUAGAUACCCUGGUAGUCCACGCCGUAAACGAUGAGUGCUAAGUGUUAGGGGGUUUCCGCCCCUUAGUGCUGCAGCUAACGCAUUAAGCACUCCGCCUGGGGAGUACGGUCGCAAGACUGAAACUCAAAGGAAUUGACGGGGGCCCGCACAAGCGGUGGAGCAUGUGGUUUAAUUCGAAGCAACGCGAAGAACCUUACCAGGUCUUGACAUCCUCUGACAACCCUAGAGAUAGGGCUUUCCCUUCGGGGACAGAGUGACAGGUGGUGCAUGGUUGUCGUCAGCUCGUGUCGUGAGAUGUUGGGUUAAGUCCCGCAACGAGCGCAACCCUUGAUCUUAGUUGCCAGCAUUCAGUUGGGCACUCUAAGGUGACUGCCGGUGACAAACCGGAGGAAGGUGGGGAUGACGUCAAAUCAUCAUGCCCCUUAUGACCUGGGCUACACACGUGCUACAAUGGACAGAACAAAGGGCUGCGAGACCGCAAGGUUUAGCCAAUCCCACAAAUCUGUUCUCAGUUCGGAUCGCAGUCUGCAACUCGACUGCGUGAAGCUGGAAUCGCUAGUAAUCGCGGAUCAGCAUGCGGCGGUGAAUACGUUCCCGGGCCUUGUACACACCGCCCGUCACACCACGAGAGUUUGCAACACCCGAAGUCGGUGAGGUAACCUU
This 1401-nucleotide ribosomal RNA is filed under the name Bacillus sp. (in: firmicutes). RNAcentral describes it as "bacterial SSU rRNA". It matches the Rfam family "Bacterial small subunit ribosomal RNA". Lineage: Bacteria; Bacillati; Bacillota; Bacilli; Caryophanales; Bacillaceae. The record is from RNAcentral.